GAGCGGUAACGCGGGAGCAAUCCUGGCGACGAGCGGCGAACGGGUGAGUAACGCUUCGGAAUCUACCCAGUAGUGGGGAAUAACCAGCCGAAAGGUUGGCUAAUGCCGCAUACGACCCCUUUCCUUACUGGAGAGGGUUGAAAGCGGGGGAUCGUAAGACCUCGCGCUAUCGGAUGAGCCGAAGUCGGAUUAGCUAGUUGGUAGGGUAACGGCCUACCAAGGCGACAAUCCGUAGCUGGUCUGAGAGGACGACCAGCCACACUGGGACUGAGACACGGCCCAGACUCCUACGGGAGGCAGCAGUGGGGAAUAUUGGACAAUGGGGGCAACCCUGAUCCAGCGACGCCGCGUGUGUGAAGAAGGCCUGCGGGUUGUAAAGCACUUUUAGUGGGGAUGAAAAGCUCAAGGCUAAUAUCCUUGAGUCUUGACCUAACCCACAGAAAAAGCACCGGCUAACUCUGUG
This 463-nucleotide ribosomal RNA is filed under the name uncultured bacterium. Its description in RNAcentral is "bacterial SSU rRNA". It matches the Rfam family "Bacterial small subunit ribosomal RNA", at positions 64 to 507 of the family's 1533-position model. The record is from RNAcentral.